AAAUUCUUGCCACAACUCUGAGAUGGGAGAACGAACCGCUAAAUCAUCACAGGCAGAAUGGAACUGUCAUCCCAAGAGGAGCUGGGGACCUCAGCUCAACCCCACCCAUGAAGUAGUCACUACCGAGCAUUUCAGCGAGCAUCCUGAAGAGGCACACAUGGAUUUAUUAAGCAGAAAAGAAGGUGUGGUGCAUGGAGCAACUGUGCCAGCAUCAUCUGGAGCCUGUUAGGAAUGCUGAAUCCCAGACCAUGUGAAUCUCAAUCUGUCCUGAACAAGAUCCCCACCAGAUUCUUAUGCGCGUGAAAGUUUGAGAAGCCCUAGUUUACCCAAUACUUUUGGGAUCUUCAUGACUCUGGCUUUAUAGUACAAUACUCUGCUCCUGUGGGGUCGCCUCAGCCCAUCAAUGUGCCCCUCACCAUUUCUUCCUGGCAAGAACCUGCCAUCAGCAACAGCUUAGCCAGGUGGCUAAACCAAGGACAAAGGAGAUGGCUGAGGACCACUGUGGACACUGCAGGUUAACUGCCCUCUGUGGGGUUUAAUAUCCUUCCUAUGGUCCUGGCCUUUCUUAUUGUCUUGGCUCGUUGUAAAUUUUCUCCCAAGUUCACAUCCUGGGCUUCCUCGUGUGUUUCUCUCCUCCAGAUGUGUACUCUAGAUCACCUCCGUGCCUUUCCCCGACUUGGAAUAAUUUGAUUGUAUCCUGGAUGUGAGUCUAGAGUGCAUAUUUCCUCAAUUUCUAUCUGCUCUGAUUCAUUGAACUGUUAAUAGUGGCUUAUUUGUGGCAGUAAUACAAAUAGAUAAAGAAGCUGGUUUUGUAAAUACG
Molecule: long non-coding RNA, 820 nt
Organism: Fukomys damarensis (Damara mole-rat)
Lineage: Eukaryota; Metazoa; Chordata; Mammalia; Rodentia; Bathyergidae
Exons: 4
Source: RefSeq, a predicted model, not a curated record